GCCCAUGUGGUGUGACACGCCAAAAUGCAAAUUUGGAGACGCACCCUAAGAGGUGCCGGGGCUUCUCCCGUCCUGCGCGAAACGGGAGAAGC
RNAcentral lists this transfer RNA (92 nucleotides) under Cyrtodactylus philippinicus. Its description in RNAcentral is "tRNA-Cys". Lineage: Eukaryota; Metazoa; Chordata; Lepidosauria; Squamata; Gekkonidae. The record is from RNAcentral.